UGGGGAAUACUGCACAAUGGGCGAAAGCCUGAUGCAGCAACGCCGCGUGAGUGAUGAAGGUCUUCGGAUUGUAAAGCUCUGUCUUUUGGGACGAUAAUGACGGUACCAAAGGAGGAAGCCACGGCUAACUACGUGCCAGCAGCCGCGGUAAUACGUAGGUGGCGAGCGUUGUCCGGAUUUACUGGGCGUAAAGGGUGCGUAGGCGGAUGUUUAAGUGAGAUGUGAAAUACCCGGGCUUAACUUGGGUGCUGCAUUUCAAACUGGAUAUCUAGAGUGCAGGAGAGGAGAAUGGAAUUCCUAGUGUAGCGGUGAAAUGCGUAGAGAUUAGGAAGAACACCAGUGGCGAAGGCGAUUCUCUGGACUGUAACUGACGCUGAGGCACGAAAGCGUGGGUAGCAAACAGGAUUAGAUACCCUGGUAGUCCACGCCGUAAACGAUGAGUACUAGGGUGUAGGAGGUAUCGACCCCUUCUGUGCCGCAGUAAACACAUUAAGUACUCCGCCUGGGGAAGUACGAUCGCAAGAUUAAAACUCUAAAGUGAAUUGGAC
RNAcentral lists this ribosomal RNA (548 nucleotides) under uncultured bacterium. RNAcentral's name for it is "partial 16S ribosomal RNA". It matches the Rfam family "Bacterial small subunit ribosomal RNA", at positions 355 to 915 of the family's 1533-position model. The record is from RNAcentral.